UAGCUCAGUUGGUAGAGUGCAAGGAUUUUAACUUUAAGGUUGUGGGUUCAAGCCCCAU
This 58-nucleotide transfer RNA is filed under the name Zea mays. It matches the Rfam family "tRNA", at positions 8 to 63 of the family's 71-position model. From Rfam's summary of the family: Transfer RNA (tRNA) molecules are approximately 80 nucleotides in length. Their secondary structure includes four short double-helical elements and three loops (D, anti-codon, and T loops). The record is from Rfam by way of RNAcentral. Lineage: Eukaryota; Viridiplantae; Streptophyta; Magnoliopsida; Poales; Poaceae.